GAGGGCGGGAACGGUAGCACACAGCUAUGAUUGUGUACAGUCGGAGGCAGGAGUACCAUUGUUAAAGCCAUUCUGGUCUGCGUAAUGUGUUUCCAGGUACUCAGGGCUACAUGGUGAGACCCUGACUCAUGAACCCCCAAAUUAAAAGUGAAAUAAUAAACUGAAUUAGCAGAGAGGAAGUAUACAGGUAAAAUCUGGCAUGUAGUUAUUCUCUACCUCAACACUCACCCCUCUCUUUCAGAAGAUUCUACAACAUAGUAUUUAAGGGAUGUUUUAAGUCCUAGCACUGAAUUUGUUGAGGCAGAGACGUAAAGUAGGAAAAGUAGAAAGGGCAGGGUGCUAGAACCUGACUCUCUCACCACCCACCAGGCCCAACCCUACCAAGCCUUUGGCAGACUGGCACCGAUUAGUAUAAAAUGAUUGCCUGUAAACAUGAGAAAAAAUGGUUCUCUGAUUGCACCUACUGCUGGCCAGGCCCUGUGCUUUGCCCGUAUCCAAGCUGACUGGCACGGGUUUUGAUUGAGUUGGGCCCUUUGGUCUUGAAGUUGUCUUUCUGGGUCUCCUUUGAAAAGCCUUGGCUUCCUUGUAUGAACAUAACUGGGAGUGCACCCGUCUGUUUCCACGCUCAUUUCUAACUACAUCUCCUUCCAGGACUGUGGGGACCUUUAUAACACCAUCAGUAACAAGGAGAAAAUAGCCGAAUGGGAUGAAUGUUCACACUCUCUGACACGGGAUUGUGGGAAAUCAGACUCCCUUACGGUUCUGGUCUCCUGCUUCUACUUCUACUGAGCAUCUCAGGUCAAAUUACCUGGAGAAGUUUGUGUUUUCAGCCAUCUACACUAAGACAACAGUAUUUUUACUCAGCCAUUGUGCUGUCCCCAGGAUCACCUUGUCUUGUUCCAGCCACCAUUGAGUAAUGAGAGAAUUAAAAGAACUGUGAAAUUUACAAAGGAGGUUGAGAAUUUAUCUUCAAGUCCUUGAAGCUUGGCCAUAAAAGAUCAGACAUAGGGACUGGAAGUGCUUUCAAGUGUUCGAAUCUCAGUCUUUCAAAAGUAUUAGGGUAGUUAACUGCCUUCCUCUGGGAAAGAGGGUUACCCUCAUUCCAGGGUGCCAGACUCCUGUUCUAUUUAAAGACUCACAGGUACCCAAGGCUUUCUACUGCAGUUUGAAAUAUCUUGCUCAUACCAGUCAAGUGUACACACACACACACACACUCACACACACACAUUCACAGAGAGAGAGAGAGACAGAGACAGAGACAGAGAGACAGAGAGAGACAGAGACAGACAGAGAGAGACAGAGACAGACAGAGACAGACACACCCACACUUACACUCACAUCCAUAUGCCCUCUCCAUAGAACCCAGGCACCAGUUUUAGCAGCUCUAACUGAAGGGCCAGUCUUCUGGCAAUGUCUUCAUGCUGUGGAGAUGUCCUAUGUUUUGCAUUAGACUCUUACAGCUUGUGUCUCCUGACUGAGAGUUGUUUGUAUGUAUGUAUGUAUGUAUGUAUGUAUGUAUGUAUGUAUGUAUGUGUAUGUAUAUAUGUUUGUGUAUGUGUGUAUGUAUGUAUAUAAGUAUGUAUGUGUGUAUGUAUGUGUAUGUGUGUAUGUAUGUAUAUAAGUAUGUAUGUGUGUAUGUGUGUAUGUGUAUGUGUAUGUAUGUAGUAUGUAGUAUGUAUGUAUGUAUGUAUGUAUGUAUGUAUGUAUGUAUUUAAAGGUAGACUACUUCCUAGCCUUAGUCCUGGAGAACUGCACCCCCUGUUGGAAAGAAAAGGCAAGAAAGAGCCAGUCAGGCUAGGCUGGUGGUCCUACCCUGCAUAAGGUAGCAGGAAUUUUUGGAUUAGCAGGAAGCGGUCAGAGGUGGAGGAGGCUGGUUUGUAUCUUUGCCUGGGCACGAACAAAAGCAGUUAAAACUAAAGACACUGAAGGCUAGGUUUUAAAAUUUAAAAUUUUGUCCAAUUAGUUCCUCUUUACCUAACACACACACACACACACACACACACACACACACACACACACACCAGAAUACUACUACGUCUCAUGCACAUUCCAGGUUUAUUCUUCAUUUGAAGCUGAGCCUAUUGUAGCCGAUAAUCAUAAAAAGGAGUUCCGGAUCCACAGGAUCUGAGCCUUCCCUACUCUGCAAUACAGCAAAGAGUAUAGGCACUCAGGACCCAAGAACAUAUGUGGUCACAACUCAGCCCUUUGUCCCUGCAUUAAAGGACCCCCAAGAUGAUGAAAUUAUAAGGUUGGCUGUCUUUGGACUCCUCUGAAAGGUCACUGUGAGUUUUACUUGUUGCCAUGAUUUCUGUUUCCUUCAUAAGAAGAAGCCUUUAAGUCAUCACGAGUAGAGGUUAUUCUACUCCGCAAAACAACCAAGGUUGUCACCCUCCGGAAUUAGCUUCAGGGUUUUUUUUUUUUAACUAAGUGAUUUCAAGCUGAUGAAACACUAUUACUUUUAAGGUCAGUAUGUCACAGAGGUCUUCACAAACACGUCUUUGAGGACUACAACCUAGUGAUGCGAAGAGUCUACUAAUAUUCCGUCACCAGCAGAGACACCGUUCUGUGAAAAUAAACUCGCUAAUUCAGAAACAUCCACGACUGUCUUGCUGUCCUUUCUCUGAUGCCUUCACCUAUACUGGCUUAACCAGAAGCUGCAUUGUGAAAAGUCAAGAGAAUGCUGCUUUGUUGAUAUUUUCGAUACUGUUUGAGAAUAUUGAUUAUUUGCUUGAGGGCUCUAAGCCCCCCCCCCCCAGAAUCCAAAUUCUUGUGGAUCAAUACCGUUAUCAAAAACACGGAUCUUUUUCUUGAUAAACAGGGAGAUAAAAGUUAGGAAACCCAUGGAAGGUGGUACCUCAGAGCAUCAGAGUAAAUCGGGGAGACGGACAAGACGGUGGCUUGUCAUCCAGCGAUGCCUGUAAGUGACUCUAAUUAUUGGUUCACAAAUGACCAUAGGGAGGUGGGCAUUUAACAACAACAAAAAUAAUCAGUUCUUAAAAAUAAUUUUUUUUUUAUCCAAGAGUUGGAUAGAGUCCGCCGAGGUCUGUAUUUUACUUUUUAUUUGGGGGAAGAAUACUGUCCACCCCAAAAUGUCUUUUUGCCCACUCCCAACACAAUGCAAACCCCAUCUCCUUUUCUAUAAAUACUCCUUUCCAGUUUCAAAGUGGUUCCUCAUGUGGCUCUUCCACAGAGUUAAUAAAAUGAACAUUCCACAGCAUACAAAGAGGAUGGGGCCUUAAGCUGAAGGCUCCCUGGGGUCACAGUGCAAGGCUGCAGGCACAGAAGUUUGCAACAACUGGGUACUGGCACUCCUAGCUUUUUCCGCCUGCAUUGUCUUGGCGGAGGCUCACUGCAGUGAAUACCGGUAACAUCGCAUAGGAAGAGAACUGUAAAUUCUUUAAAAUAAAACGUUCAAUUGGUCUAGGGACCGUCAUAGUUGCGAAUCUAUAGCCGCCAUUUAGCGCAUAGGGCUUCCGGGCUGACGGCCUGGAGCAGUGGUCAAAACUCUUCAAAAACUCGACCUUGGAGUCUGUGUAAUAGAAAAGUACUCGCUGCUUUCGCAGGGGGUAUGGGGUGGGGUGGCAUUUGUUGGUUUAGGGAUGUUUUACUCACUCCUGCUUUAAAUCUAGAGUGAUGGCCCUGGGAAGACAAAGGAAGUACUAACAUUGGUGUGAUUCGCUGCGGGCCUGCUUUGCUACCCAGCGCUGUGACUUGAGGGUCUUUUAAGAAAGUUUAUCAACACAGCAAAAUCUAAGUCUAGUAAGAGUCUCAGAAGGGUUUCAUGGAAAAUAAGGACAGUGACGCCUACAAUUGGUUAUCUGGAGCCGCUAGGAGUCUGGUCAGCCUGGUUUCUUGGCUCUUCUGGGCCCAAUUUCCUGACACUUCAAAUCCAGAGAUGUCCUUGGUCCCCAAGCUUCGAAGUUACUAAAUUAUCUUUUUCUCUGAAAUUUUUAAGAGGAGGCGACCCGUGAUGCUCUCUGCCACUGUACGUAAAACAAGCAAUUCCCCACCAGCCUUUGAGCUACACUUCAGGUUUUGGGGACUCCUUUGCUUUUGGAUUUUUAAUCCCCUGCUCCUGUGAAAAGAGAAAUUUCCAGGCCACCCUGAAAAGGACUUGUUUUUAUUAUCUCUGUCUUGAAUUAAGAUCAUUGAGGCCUGAAUUCAAAUUCAGAGUACCAGCAUGGGGCACAAACCCCAGGGUGGUGCCCGAAAGACACUCGUGGCGCCAUAACUAUUGUGAAACAAGCCACUGCGGGGAGAGAGGGAAUUGAUAUUAUUUUGAUGGAGAUUCCAACUGGGAAGCGCCCUAGAGAAUGUUCUCGCUCUACUGGGCGUUCUUCUGGCUCAGAGAAAUUGGGGAGCUGGGCCAGCAAGAGCGGGGUUGGUGGCUCAGGAGGGCGAUUCCUGGCCUGUGAGACACCUCUGCCUUCGUGACUAAUGGAUUUCCCCGCGCCGCUGUUGUUCCCCAUUUGCAUGUACCUCGGCCGGGGGCCCAGCUGUGCCCGGGUGCACACUUAGCGCUGGCUGAUAGCCCCAGGACAUACUGGAGUCUAACCAGGAGGGUGCUGAGAUCUGGAUUUUCACACCAUGAAACUGGUAACAGUUUUGACUUCAAUGUCUUGAAAAGUUCCAGGAUCAACUGGGAGACAGGCCCGUGAGCUUGCCAGUGAGGAGUUACCAUGAGAGCACCAUGCUAAGGUCUCCGAUUGAUUCAAAAGGAGGACAUGAGGGGAACACUGGCCCUCUACUCCUUGCGCUCUGCUUCCUGGCUUUGGAAUGCAAUGACCAGCUCGACGUCUGAAGGUCUUGCAGCUACAUUUCCACACACCAUGAGACAGACAGCAUUGUACCCUCCAACUGUGAGCCAAAAGUAACAAGAUUGCUUUCAUCAGACAUUUUGCCCCAACCAUGCUUAAAGCAAGUGAUGAAAAUACCAGGCAGUUCUCUCAUCUUCUAGAGACAAGCGAUUGCUUGAACUAAUUCAAUGAACUCUUUGCCUUCAUCCGCACCCAUUGAUUCAUCAGAUAACUCAAUUCUCUUUUUCUUUUUCUUUUUUUUUUUAAGCUUCAAUUCUGCAGGUCUCUGUUUGCCUUUGUGAGGAAGAGGAGCUGAAGUCAUGCACACAACUUACUGACAGUCCAUUGGACCAGGCAGGUCCACAAAUCACUAGGAGCAGGGAAGCACGACUUCUGCACGGCUCCUGGAGUCGUUUGGCUUGGAGAGAACUCUCAGAUGUGUGUGUGAUCUUCCAACAAGCCUCUUGUUGACUCACCUUCACUUCUCACGGUUCCAUUUCUUGUCCUGGCUUAUGCAGUCAACGCCCCUUGGUUUGACAGCACCAUCUACAACUGUAGUGAGCUCCUGUGCUCAUGUCAUUUCCCUUCCAGGAAGAUAUGAUGCCAUCGACUUUUUAUCCUGACACUGUCCUUACUUCUUCCAGUAGUUGAUGAGGAUUUGUUCUGGUUACCCUAAUGGUUUGUCUAACUAAAUAUAGGACACCUGGCCACCCCCACUUCUUUGUACUUCUUUGUAGUCUUAAUUACUUUGGCAACUAGACUUUAAAAAAAAACAAACUUCCAAUCUG
Non-coding RNA from Rattus norvegicus (Norway rat), 5584 nucleotides. NCBI's taxonomy places the organism in Eukaryota, Metazoa, Chordata, Mammalia, Rodentia, Muridae. The record is from RefSeq and is a predicted model, not a curated record.